UACAGAGGACUCAAGCGUUGUUCGGAAUCACUGGGCGUAAAGCGUGCGUAGGCUGUUUCGUAAGUCGUGUGUGAAAGGCGCGGGCUCAACCCGCGGACGGCACAUGAUACUGCGAGACUAGAGUAAUGGAGGGGGAACCGGAAUUCUCGGUGUAGCAGUGAAAUGCGUAGAUAUCGAGAGGAACACUCGUGGCGAAGGCGGCUCUCUGGUCUGUAACUGACGCUGAGGCUCGAAAGCAUGGGUAGCGAACAGG
Molecule: ribosomal RNA, 253 nt
Filed under: uncultured Akkermansia sp.
Lineage: Bacteria; Pseudomonadati; Verrucomicrobiota; Verrucomicrobiia; Verrucomicrobiales; Akkermansiaceae
Description: partial 16S ribosomal RNA
Rfam family: Bacterial small subunit ribosomal RNA
Source: RNAcentral